UCACGUUCACCUCGUUUUCAGCGAGGCGCAGUUCGACUCAGGCCAUGGAACGGGGACCUGAG
The submitters of this non-coding RNA (62 nucleotides) gave its source as unclassified sequences. The record is from Rfam.